UAGAGUUAUAAAAACUCCAACCCUGUGUGAACUGAAGCCUGGUUGCUCUGGCAGGCGGGCCCUGGGAGGGUCCGCAGCUUCUACGAGGCGCCUGCCGGAGGAUACCUAAACUCGUUUUUAUUAUUGUAUCUGAGUACCCAAAAAAUGAAUUA
RNAcentral lists this unclassified non-coding RNA (152 nucleotides) under uncultured Hypocreales. RNAcentral describes it as "sequence contains ITS1". Lineage: Eukaryota; Fungi; Ascomycota; Sordariomycetes; Hypocreales. The record is from RNAcentral.